RNAcentral lists this ribosomal RNA (949 nucleotides) under human gut metagenome. Its description in RNAcentral is "bacterial SSU rRNA". It matches the Rfam family "Bacterial small subunit ribosomal RNA", at positions 8 to 915 of the family's 1533-position model. The record is from RNAcentral.
AGAGUUUGAUCCUGGCUCAGGACGAACGCUGGCGGCAUGCCUAACACAUGCAAGUCGAACGGAGUUUGUUAUUAGAAGUUCUUCGGAAUGGAAGAUAAUAAACUUAGUGGCGGACGGGUGAGUAACGCGUGGAUAACCUGCCUUUUUGUGGGGAACAACUUCGAGAAAUCGGAGCUAAUACCGCAUGAGCUUAUAAAGCCGCAUGGCAUUAUAAGGAAAGAUGGCCUCUGAACAUGCUAUCGCAAAAAGAUGGAUCCGCGUCUGAUUAGCUAGUUGGUAAGGUAGCGGCUUACCAAGGCGACGAUCAGUAGCCGGCCUGAGAGGGUGAACGGCCACAUUGGGACUGAGACACGGCCCAAACUCCUACGGGAGGCAGCAGUGGGGAAUCUUCCGCAAUGGGCGAAAGCCUGACGGAGCAAUGCCGCGUGAGUGAAGAAGGCCUUCGGGUUGUAAAACUCUGUCCUUAUUGAAGAGAGGUAUUGGUGUGAAUAAUGCUGAUAUAGGACGGUAAAUAAGGAGGAAGCCCCGGCUAACUACGUGCCAGCAGCCGCGGUAAUACGUAGGGGGCGAGCGUUGUCCGGAAUCACUGGGCGUAAAGGGCGCGUAGGCGGUAUAAUAAGUCAGUGGUGAAAACCUGGGGCUCAACCCCGGGCCUGCCACUGAUACUGUUAAACUUGAGUAUGGAAGAGGAGAAUGGAAUUCCUAGUGUAGCGGUGAAAUGCGUAGAUAUUAGGAGGAACACCAGUGGCGAAGGCGAUUCUCUGGGCCAAGACUGACGCUGAGGCGCGAAAGCGUGGGGAGCAAACAGGAUUAGAUACCCUGGUAGUCCACGCCGUAAACGAUGGGUACUAGGUGUUAGGGGUUUCGAUGCCUCUAGUGCCGCAGUAAACACAAUAAGUACCCCGCCUGGGGAGUACGGUCGCAAGACUGAAACUCAAAGGAAUUGACG